UACGGAGGAUGCGAGCGUUAUCCGGAUUUAUUGGGUUUAAAGGGUGCGUAGGCGGGAUGCCAAGUCAGCGGUAAAAAUGCGGUGCUCAACGCCGUCGAGCCGUUGAAACUGGCGUUCUUGAGUGGGCGAGAAGUAUGCGGAAUGCGUGGUGUAGCGGUGAAAUGCAUAGAUAUCACGCAGAACUCCGAUUGCGAAGGCAGCAUACCGGCGCUCUACUGACGCUGAGGCACGAAAGCGUGGGUAUCGAACAGG
RNAcentral lists this ribosomal RNA (252 nucleotides) under uncultured bacterium. RNAcentral describes it as "partial 16S ribosomal RNA". It matches the Rfam family "Bacterial small subunit ribosomal RNA", at positions 524 to 776 of the family's 1533-position model. The record is from RNAcentral.